This 500-nucleotide ribosomal RNA is filed under the name uncultured bacterium. Its description in RNAcentral is "partial 16S ribosomal RNA". It matches the Rfam family "Bacterial small subunit ribosomal RNA", at positions 30 to 523 of the family's 1533-position model. The record is from RNAcentral.
AUUGAACGCUGGCGGCAUGCCUUACACAUGCAAGUCGAACGGCAGCACGGGAGCAAUCCUGGUGGCGAGUGGCGAACGGGUGAGUAAAGUAUCGGAACGUGCCCAGUCGUGGGGGAUAACGUAGCGAAAGUUACGCUAAUACCGCAUACGAUCCAUGGAUGAAAGCGGGGGAUCGCAAGACCUCGCGCGAUUGGAGCGGCCGAUAUCGGAUUAGGUAGUUGGUGGGGUAAAGGCUCACCAAGCCGACGAUCUGUAGCUGGUCUGAGAGGACGACCAGCCACACUGGGACUGAGACACGGCCCAGACUCCUACGGGAGGCAGCAGUGGGGAAUUUUGGACAAUGGGCGAAAGCCUGAUCCAGCCAUGCCGCGUGCAGGAUGAAGGCCUUCGGGUUGUAAACUGCUUUUGUACGGAACGAAAAGGUUUGGCCUAAUAAGCUGAGCUCAUGACGGUACCGUAAGAAUAAGCACCGGCUAACUACGUGCCAGCAGCCGCCGUAA